ACAGAUGACACACUAAGGCGCAAGGCAGCUGCACAUCCACGGCCAGCCUCGUUGUCUUCAGGGAUUUGUUCAAAGUUCAUUCUGAAUUGUAAGGUAACCACUGCAGAACACGAGCCUUUCCUGGGUAUGUGUGGUUAUUUCUGCCCUUCACGGUCCCACUCAAGUCCUGCCUCCCUCAGGGAGACCUCCCAGACCUCACCAAGCCGUGGGCACGUGGACCAGAAGCCGUGGACCCCAGAGGCUCAUUUAGGGAUCUGCUUUCUGAACCCAGGUCCUAACAUCUGCACUGCAGCGAGCAUUUCUGGUGCCUCAAGUGAGUCACUCCAACUUCCAGCUCACUGAGAGGCGAUGGAGCACUGAGUGCCAGCAUCUUCCAGCACCAGAGGAGCUGACUCUGAAUAGACAGCUCGGCAGCGGCCUCAGCACAGAGCAGGGGAGCCACCAGCCACAGGCAGCCACUGAGCCCUUGGCAUGUAACCCGGUAACCCAUGCAACAGAAGACCUGAGCGUCCAGUGUUGCUAGCUUGAAGUAACUUCAGUGGUGUUCCCCAGCGUUUUUCUCAUCCCCCUCCCUUCCCUUCCCCUACAGCUUUCUUCCUCUUUCCCCUCCUUCUGAGUCUUUCGUCCCCAGUCCUGGGAACCUUUUUUCUGACUUGGUGUUUUCUCCUGAAUGCCUCCUUCCUGGCCCCCUAAUCAGAAAUGCAGAAGCCACCUGCCCCACACAGGGGGCCACUUUCCCUGCAUCUGGCACUCACCAGGACAGUCAUAGAACUGGCCUUGGGUGCUUGGGGAGAGUGGAGAGGUCUGGGGGGCAUCCACUGGCCUCAGCCUCAGAGCUUCUCAUCAGUAACCCAGGAGGCAAAGGCCCAGCUCAAGAUUAGCCCAGGCCACUGUAUCUGUGCCAAGACCUACAGCUGUCCCUGCAGGGCGUGCAUCUCUGCAGCCCAGGCUAUCACAAUGGUGUCCCUUUUGGUGGGGAUGUGAGGCCUGCUGCUGCCUGGGAAGAAGCUGACAGGAUUGUUGGUGCUGUGGGGAGAAGCUGGUGUAACUGAGACCCAUGAGGGAGGCCCUUUGUGGGUCUGUGGCUGGGAGGAGCUCUGGGGAAGAUGGGCCUUGAGAAAUCCCAGCUUAGCACCUUUGACAGUUGCUCCACUGAGUCACCCUAGACUGCAAUCUCACAGAUGUUCUAACCACCCUCUCCCUGGGGAGCCCUUGGGGGUGCUGCAAGCCCAGUCCUCACUCACUGGCUUUGUGCUUCUCUUCCCGACUUCCUUUUUUUGCUCCUGUUGAGAAAUGUGGGUCCAGGGCUGCGUGCUCCAGUGUGCGGAAGGAAGGGCAGCGUGCUCUUUGGACUGAGCUGGCUCAAGGGAAGCUGGGUCUGAGGGGAGACUGACCUCGACCCUUCUUAAAUGAAACACCUUUUCCCUGCGUCUCAGUCACCGUUACCUGGCCUGAUCACUGUGUGCCACACCCCAUCACAUCCAUCCCCACAAGAAUGCCAGGAGGAGGGGUCAUUGGCCUUUUUGUCAGCACAAACCUCUGGAGGCCCAGCUCCCAAGACCCGCCAGGCACACCUGCCAGAGUGCCUUAACUUGGGAUGUCUGCAAACCUCUGUCCAUGGCCGAACCCACCCCACUGCCUGUUACUGUAAAUAAAGGUCUAUUAGCAUGCCACCAUGCCCCUCCUCCGAUGCAUACAGUGCCCAGCUCAGCACCUGGUGCAAGUAAGCACAAUCUGGCUUCCAGCCAUCACUGCUGUUGCUACUAACACAAAUAUUAGGCCCCUUCUAGAAUGCAAAGAUAACCCAGGGCUGCUCGUUCUGUGUCCAGAUCACAGAGUUUUUCUUUUUAUCCUUAUCAACUUUAUUGAGGGAUAAUUUACAGGCAAUAAAUCAUAUCCAUUUAAA
Molecule: long non-coding RNA, 1906 nt
Organism: Homo sapiens (human)
Lineage: Eukaryota; Metazoa; Chordata; Mammalia; Primates; Hominidae
Product: long intergenic non-protein coding RNA 656
Source: Ensembl